UCUGGGGUCUUGGGCCAUCUGGUUGUGACAGCCCCGAUGGCCCAAGACCUCAGACC
Cercocebus atys (sooty mangabey) is the source of this 56-nucleotide microRNA precursor. The record is from Ensembl. NCBI's taxonomy places the organism in Eukaryota, Metazoa, Chordata, Mammalia, Primates, Cercopithecidae.